This 19-nucleotide unclassified non-coding RNA is filed under the name Mus musculus (house mouse). RNAcentral describes it as "oocyte_clustered_small_RNA6641". The record is from RNAcentral. Lineage: Eukaryota; Metazoa; Chordata; Mammalia; Rodentia; Muridae.
UAGCUGGAUCGAGGAUAGU